CCAUAGGUUAAUGAGGCGAACCGGGGGAACUGAAACAUCUAAGUACCCCGAGGAAAAGAAAUCAACCGAGAUUCCCCCAGUAGCGGCGAGCGAACGGGGAGGAGCCCAGAGCCUGAAUCAGUGUGUGUGUUAGUGGAAGCGUCUGGAAAGGCGCGCGAUACAGGGUGACAGCCCCGUACACAAAAAUGCACAUAUUGUGAGCUCGAUGAGUAGGGCGGGACACGUGGUAUCCUGUCUGAAUAUGGGGGGACCAUCCUCCAAGGCUAAAUACUCCUGACUGACCGAUAGUGAACCAGUACCGUGAGGGAAAGGCGAAAAGAACCCCGGCGAGGGGAGUGAAAAAGAACCUGAAACCGUGUACGUACAAGCAGUGGGAGCACGCUUAGGCGUGUGACUGCGUACCUUUUGUAUAAUGGGUCAGCGACUUAUAUUCUGUAGCAAGGUUAACCGAAUAGGGGAGCCGAAGGGAAACCGAGUCUUAACUGGGCGUUAAGUUGCAGGGUAUAGACCCGAAACCCGGUGAUCUAGCCAUGGGCAGGUUGAAGGUUGGGUAACACUAACUGGAGGACCGAACCGACUAAUGUUGAAAAAUUAGCGGAUGACUUGUGGCUGGGGGUGAAAGGCCAAUCAAACCGGGAGAUAGCUGGUUCUCCCCGAAAGCUAUUUAGGUAGCGCCUCGUGAAUUCAUCUCCGGGGGUAGAGCACUGUUUCGGCAAGGGGGUCAUCCCGACUUACCAACCCGAUGCAAACUGCGAAUACCGGAGAAUGUUAUCACGGGAGACACACGGCGGGUGCUAACGUCCGUCGUGAAGAGGGAAACAACCCAGACCGCCAGCUAAGGUCCCAAAGUCAUGGUUAAGUGGGAAACGAUGUGGGAAGGCCCAGACAGCCAGGAUGUUGGCUUAGAAGCAGCCAUCAUUUAAAGAAAGCGUAAUAGCUCACUGGUCGAGUCGGCCUGCGCGGAAGAUGUAACGGGGCUAAACCAUGCAC
This 990-nucleotide ribosomal RNA is filed under the name Escherichia coli. RNAcentral's name for it is "partial 23S ribosomal RNA". It matches the Rfam family "Bacterial large subunit ribosomal RNA", at positions 164 to 1194 of the family's 2925-position model. The record is from RNAcentral. Lineage: Bacteria; Pseudomonadati; Pseudomonadota; Gammaproteobacteria; Enterobacterales; Enterobacteriaceae.